This 446-nucleotide ribosomal RNA is filed under the name uncultured bacterium. RNAcentral's name for it is "partial 16S ribosomal RNA". It matches the Rfam family "Bacterial small subunit ribosomal RNA", at positions 338 to 795 of the family's 1533-position model. The record is from RNAcentral.
CCUACGGGGAGCAGCAGUCGAGAAUCAUUCACAAUGGGGGAAACCCUGAUGGUGCGACGCCGCGUGGGGGAAUGAAGGUCUUCGGAUUGUAAACCCCUGUCAUGUGGGAGCAAAUUAAAAAGAUAGUACCACACGAGGAAGAGACGGCUAACUCUGUGCCAGCAGCCGCGGUAAUACAGAGGUCUCAAGCGUUGUUCGGAAUCACUGGGCGUAAAGCGUGCGUAGGCUGUUUCGUAAGUCGUGUGUGAAAGGCGCGGGCUCAACCCGCGGACGGCACAUGAUACUGCGAGACUAGAGUAAUGGAGGGGGAACCGGAAUUCUCGGUGUAGCAGUGAAAUGCGUAGAUAUCGAGAGGAACACUCGUGGCGAAGGCGGGUUCCUGGACAUUAACUGACGCUGAGGCACGAAGGCCAGGGGAGCGAAAGGGAUUAGAUACCCUAGUAGUC